CAAUGGUGUUUGUCGUGUGAUGCGAAUCCACACACUUUCUUCCCUCGUUGCUACAUGUUUGGUGAGCAAAAUGAAAAACAAGCAUUCAUUAAAGACUUUACCAUGACUGCGGCUUGUGGUAUCCUAAAAUGGGUUUUGAGAACCAAUGGGAAGUCUUUGCAAGAUGAAGUUAUUCCCAGCCGGAAAGAAAA
Xenopus laevis (African clawed frog) is the source of this 191-nucleotide long non-coding RNA. RefSeq lists it as uncharacterized. The transcript is spliced from 2 exons. The record is from RefSeq and is a predicted model, not a curated record. NCBI's taxonomy places the organism in Eukaryota, Metazoa, Chordata, Amphibia, Anura, Pipidae.